GCUGGAAUCGCUAGUAAUCGCAGAUCAGAAUGCUGCGGUGAAUACGUUCCCGGGUCUUGUACACACCGCCCGUCACACCAUGGGAGUCGGAAAUGCCCGAAGCCAGUGACCCAACCUUAAGGAGGGAGCUGUCGAAGGUGGAGCCGGUAACUGGGGUGAAGUCGUAACAAGGUAAC
RNAcentral lists this ribosomal RNA (176 nucleotides) under uncultured bacterium. RNAcentral's name for it is "partial 16S ribosomal RNA". It matches the Rfam family "Bacterial small subunit ribosomal RNA", at positions 1325 to 1500 of the family's 1533-position model. The record is from RNAcentral.